Molecule: long non-coding RNA, 135 nt
Organism: Rhagoletis zephyria (snowberry fruit fly)
Lineage: Eukaryota; Metazoa; Arthropoda; Insecta; Diptera; Tephritidae
Source: RefSeq, a predicted model, not a curated record
UUUUGUUUUUUAUACGUUGCACAUUAAUGUAAAAUAUGUACAAUUAAAUCCCAUAAUAAGAAAGAAGAAAUACUUUUUUUUCAUUAAGUUUCGUUAAAAGGUUUCCACUUUAGAGAAAGCAAUUUAAAGAAAGUU